Molecule: long non-coding RNA, 359 nt
Filed under: Elaeis guineensis (African oil palm)
Lineage: Eukaryota; Viridiplantae; Streptophyta; Magnoliopsida; Arecales; Arecaceae
Description: long non-coding RNA (EGUI_LNC063865)
Source: RNAcentral
AGCAGUAUAUGGUGGCAACCCAUCAGAACUGAAGACGAACCUCUCGGUGCAGCUACCUGUGUGAUUGAGUUCCUCUAUCAUGAGUCCCGACUGAAUUAGGGUUAAGGUGAACUCGUCAAACCCAACAUCAGUCAAAUAAAUUAAUCGAUCGAUCCGAGUCCAAUGUGAAACCCUAAUGAAAUUUUUUUUUUCCAUUAUUUCACUCUGCCAUUGCCAUGGGCUUAAGGACUCGAUCUUUCGAUCAUCAUAGGACUACUCCUCUCAUCUACCGAGAUUGAUAGAUCCUAUCUUGGUGCGACCUAGUUCCUACAAUGAAUAUGCUACAGUCAACAUAUAUCUCAGGGUUUUGAAUGGCUAGG